GUAAUUAUUUUUAGGGUUAUUAUGAAGAUGAAGAACCUGAGGACAUAAAUACCAAAAAUCUAAAAUCUUUUAUUUCAAGAAGAAAAUGGCAGCGUUCCUUGACAUGUCUCGGCUCGGUUCUGACUUUGAGACCAAUCCCAGAGUUGUUGGAGGCUCCUCUGCAUGACGUUUCGAUUACAGCUACAAGGGAAACCCAGGAGCUCAGCAGCACCUCCCUAAGUAGUGGAUCCUCCUCAGAGUUUGAUGAAGCAGAUGCUUGGGACUUCUUCCAACAGGUGAGCCAGGAGGAUGAAGAUGACCUGGAAGAAGAGGAAGAAUAUGACCCAUACACUCAUGUGUCAAAGACGCCCACAGUUUUAAAACGGGAUGAAGAAGAUGUGCUUAUUGCUGAGGACCGCAUUCACAGUGGCCCGCUGGUGAUUUCCACGUCCACACCAUCAACAGAGCCAGUCAGUUUGGAGAGGAGGGACAGUAGCCCCUAUCUUCACCUCUCUGAGAGAGAUGAAGGAUUGGAUCCCAUACCACGUCGUAUCCUCAUCAAGAGCACUUUUUAUUGCAGCUCCGAGCAGCUCUCACCCAUGUCUGCUCGUCACAUGACGCUUCGGGAUAAAAUCCAAGCUAAAAAGCAAGAGCGUGGCCGUAAACCCCUCCGUGCCAGCCUCUCCGGCAGGUUAAAUGAGCCCCUCAUAGAGUAUGUAGAAGAUUCCCCAGAUUUAGAAGCUAAUCGUAACCAAAGAAGAGGAUCAAUGCAUUCAUCUAUCCUGAAGUCAAGUUCAUUUGAUAGUGGAGUGAGCGCUGCCCAUCCAAGCAUACACACCCAGAGAAGAAGCAGGUCAUUAGAUGUAUACACACAAUGCUCUCCAACUUCAACUGAGCCAACAGUGCAAGGAGAGGAUGAGCAUGAUGUUGAAGAAAGCCAGAAACCAGAUGUCACUGAUGAAGAAGAGGAGAAAACUGAAGAAGUCCAAGUGAGAAGGAAACUUUGCCGUCGCUCUGCGUUUUUGUCAAAGGGAUUCACAAAGUUAUGAAAUUGUUUUCUGAUUUUUAACCAGAAAGUCCAGUCAAACCAUCCAGGCCAGAUGUCAUUCAGCUAGCAGGAGGAGGAGUGCUUGUGUUCUGGAAACCUGUGCCAUCAAAAGAACUUGUCACAUAUUGUAUUCAGUAUAGUGUAAAUGGUAAGAAUACAUACUGAGAAUAUACAUCCUGUAUUAUGAGCAUUGUUUUUCAUUGUGUUUUUCCAUGGUGCUUCAUAAAGAA
This 1257-nucleotide long non-coding RNA is filed under the name Sinocyclocheilus grahami. RNAcentral's name for it is "lncRNA (ENSSGRG00000010932.1)". The record is from RNAcentral. Lineage: Eukaryota; Metazoa; Chordata; Actinopteri; Cypriniformes; Cyprinidae.